This 510-nucleotide long non-coding RNA is filed under the name Salmo salar (Atlantic salmon). Its description in RNAcentral is "lncRNA (ENSSSAG00000115205.1)". Lineage: Eukaryota; Metazoa; Chordata; Actinopteri; Salmoniformes; Salmonidae. The record is from RNAcentral.
CCCAGGUCUUCAGGCCUGAGCCCCCGGAUCUCCUGACCGUCUAGUGACGGCCCUGCUUCAGCCCUGUCUGGACUACAGGCAUUAUCUCAGGGCUGAAGGAAGCCUGUCACCCAGCCUGUCUGGACUACAGACAUUAUCUCAGGGCUGGAGGAAGCCUGUCUGGACUACAGGCAUUAUCUCAGGGCCGAAGGAAGACUGUCUGGACUAGAGGCAUUAUCUCAGGGCUGGAGGAAGACUGUCUGGACUAGAGGCAUUAUCUCAGGGCUGGAGUAAGCCUGUCACCCAGCCUGUCUGGACUACAGACAUUAUCUUAGGGCUGGAGUAAGCCUGUCACCCAGCCUGUCUGGACUACAGACAUUAUCUUAGAGCUGAAGGAAGCCUGUCACCCAGCCUGUCUGGACUACAGACAUUAUCUCAGGGCUGGAGGAAGCCUGUCUGGACUACAGGCAUUAUCUCAGGGCUGAAGGAAGCCUGUCUGGACUACAGGCAUUAUCUCAGGGCUGAAGGAAG